AGCGAACGCUGGCGGCAGGCUUAACACAUGCAAGUCGAGCGGGCACUUUCGGCUGUCAGCGGCGGACGGGUGAGUAACGCGUGGGAACGUGCCCUCUUGCUCGUAAUAACGCAGGGAAACUUGAGCUAAUACCGGAUACUCCCUCUUGCGGAAAGGCUUGCUGCCGGAGGAUCGGCCCGCCUCUGAUUUGCUAGUUGGUCAGGUAACGGCUCACCAAGGCGACGAUCAGUAGCUGGUCUGAGAGGAUGAUCAGCGACACUGGGACUGAGACACGGCGCAGAAUCCUACGGGAGGCAGCAGUGGGGAAUAUUGGACAAUGGGCGCAAGCAUGAUCCAGCCAUGCCGCGUGAGUGAUGAAGGCCUUAGGGUUGUAAAGCACUUUUAUACGGGACGAUAAUGACGGUACCGGAGGAAUAAGCCCCGGCUAACUUCGUG
This 435-nucleotide ribosomal RNA is filed under the name uncultured bacterium. RNAcentral's name for it is "partial 16S ribosomal RNA". It matches the Rfam family "Bacterial small subunit ribosomal RNA", at positions 29 to 507 of the family's 1533-position model. The record is from RNAcentral.